RNAcentral lists this ribosomal RNA (467 nucleotides) under uncultured bacterium. Its description in RNAcentral is "partial 16S ribosomal RNA". It matches the Rfam family "Bacterial small subunit ribosomal RNA", at positions 28 to 507 of the family's 1533-position model. The record is from RNAcentral.
GGUGAACGCUGGCGGCGUGCCUAAGACAUGCAAGUCGAGCGGGGCAGGUUUAUACCUGUUCAGCGGCGGACGGGUGAGUAACGCGUGGGUGACCUACCCGGAAGAGGCGGACAACCUGGGGAAACCCAGGCUAAUCCGCCAUGUGGUCCUGUCCUGUGGGGCAGGACUAAAGGGGCGACCCGCUUCCGGAUGGGCCCGCGUCCCAUCAGCUAGUUGGUGGGGUAAAGGCCCACCAAGGCGACGACGGGUAGCCGGUCUGAGAGGAUGGCCGGCCACAGGGGCACUGAGAAACGGGCACCACUCCUACGGGAGGCAGCAGUUAGGAAUCUUCCGCAAUGGACGGAAGUCUGACGGAGCGACGCCGCUUGGAGGAGGAAGCCCUUCGGGGUGUAAACUCCUGAACUGGGGACGAAAGCCCCGUGUAGGGGGAUGACGGUACCCAGGUAAUAGCGCCGGCCAACUCCGUG